RNAcentral lists this long non-coding RNA (673 nucleotides) under Monodelphis domestica (gray short-tailed opossum). RNAcentral's name for it is "lncRNA (ENSMODG00000040688.1)". The record is from RNAcentral. Lineage: Eukaryota; Metazoa; Chordata; Mammalia; Didelphimorphia; Didelphidae.
CAGGCAACAAGCAUUUACUAAGAACCUACUAUGUGCCAGGCACUCUGCUAGAUAAUGGAGGGCACAGAGGGAGAUUUUAAUGUUUCAAAUCCCCUAAAUUGAAAGAUUAGACUGGAUAAAGGGGGUGGGGGUGGAGGGGAAGAAGGUUUAAGACUUAGGGACAUUAAGACAUUAGGAAAUGGUCCUACUAUGUUCUGGAAUACCCAGUUCAGGUCUGGAUGCCACAUUGGAGAGAGGAAGCCCAUUGGUAAUCAAAUCAACACUAUCAUUCUGGAAAAGGACCAGUCAAUUACACUAUGACUCAAUCACCAUCCCUGCUGUUCCCUGGACAACAAACACCUCUUUCGGAAAAUGAGAUAUUUGUGCUACAAAGCCCUCCAGCUCUGAGUUUAUGAUAGCCUGAACAAUGUAUGGUGAGACAAACACAAAUUAUUCAUGAGGAAGAAAAGCAGAAAAAUCCCAAAGGAUACCAGUGUGGCUCCAAAGGGAACUCCUCAACAAACCCAGAUUUUAACAAAGAAAGGGACAGCACAGUAUGGUGGGGAAAGAACUGAUUCUGGAGUCCAAGGAGCUGAGUUCAAAUAUUAUCUCUGAUGCUUACUAUCUGUGUGAUCUUGGAUCUUGGUUUCCUUAUUGAUAAAAUAAAGGAUUUGGACUUUAGGAUCCUAGAAGA